UUCCGUACUAUUGUUUAAAAGUUUUAAAUUUAUUUUGAAAUUAUCAAUAUCCUUCUAAAAUCCAAUCACAUUAGUAAACUUUACAAAAAAUAAAAUAUUUAAAGAACUUUUUUAAAUCAACAAUAAUAUUAUGAUUCCCCAUAAAUAAAUAAAUAUUUUUAAAAUUUUGAAGAGUAUAUUAGAUAUUAUCCUAAUAAAAAAAUUAUUUGUAUCUUAUUGGACAAGCACUUAUAAACUUAUGAAUUGGGAACCUGAGCUUUCCUGGCUCGACAC
Molecule: long non-coding RNA, 273 nt
Filed under: Ananas comosus (pineapple)
Lineage: Eukaryota; Viridiplantae; Streptophyta; Magnoliopsida; Poales; Bromeliaceae
Description: long non-coding RNA (ACOM_LNC005916)
Source: RNAcentral